AAAUUGAAGAGUUUGAUCAUGGCUCAGAUUGAACGCUGGCGGCAGGCCUAACACAUGCAAGUCGAACGGUAACAGGAAGCAGCUUGCUGCUUCGCUGACGAGUGGCGGACGGGUGAGUAAUGUCUGGGAAACUGCCUGAUGGAGGGGGAUAACUACUGGAAACGGUAGCUAAUACCGCAUAACGUCGCAAGACCAAAGAGGGGGACCUUCGGGCCUCUUGCCAUCGGAUGUGCCCAGAUGGGAUUAGCUUGUUGGUGGGGUAACGGCUCACCAAGGCGACGAUCCCUAGCUGGUCUGAGAGGAUGACCAGCCACACUGGAACUGAGACACGGUCCAGACUCCUACGGGAGGCAGCAGUGGGGAAUAUUGCACAAUGGGCGCAAGCCUGAUGCAGCCAUGCCGCGUGUAUGAAGAAGGCCUUCGGGUUGUAAAGUACUUUCAGCGGGGAGGAAGGGAGUAAAGUUAAUACCUUUGCUCAUUGACGUUACCCGCAGAAGAAGCACCGGCUAACUCCGUGCCAGCAGCCGCGGUAAUACGGAGGGUGCAAGCGUUAAUCG
Molecule: ribosomal RNA, 557 nt
Filed under: Escherichia coli
Lineage: Bacteria; Pseudomonadati; Pseudomonadota; Gammaproteobacteria; Enterobacterales; Enterobacteriaceae
Description: bacterial SSU rRNA
Rfam family: Bacterial small subunit ribosomal RNA
Source: RNAcentral